RNAcentral lists this ribosomal RNA (654 nucleotides) under Staphylococcus aureus. RNAcentral's name for it is "partial 23S ribosomal RNA". It matches the Rfam family "Bacterial large subunit ribosomal RNA", at positions 1585 to 2240 of the family's 2925-position model. Lineage: Bacteria; Bacillati; Bacillota; Bacilli; Caryophanales; Staphylococcaceae. The record is from RNAcentral.
UUCGAGUCGUUGAUUUCACACUGCCGAGAAAAGCCUCUAGAUAGAAAAUAGGUGCCCGUACCGCAAACCGACACAGGUAGUCAAGAUGAGAAUUCUAAGGUGAGCGAGCGAACUCUCGUUAAGGAACUCGGCAAAAUGACCCCGUAACUUCGGGAGAAGGGGUGCUCUUUAGGGUUAACGCCCAGAAGAGCCGCAGUGAAUAGGCCCAAGCGACUGUUUAUCAAAAACACAGGUCUCUGCUAAACCGUAAGGUGAUGUAUAGGGGCUGACGCCUGCCCGGUGCUGGAAGGUUAAGAGGAGUGGUUAGCUUCUGCGAAGCUACGAAUCGAAGCCCCAGUAAACGGCGGCCGUAACUAUAACGGUCCUAAGGUAGCGAAAUUCCUUGUCGGGUAAGUUCCGACCCGCACGAAAGGCGUAACGAUUUGGGCACUGUCUCAACGAGAGACUCGGUGAAAUCAUAGUACCUGUGAAGAUGCAGGUUACCCGCGACAGGACGGAAAGACCCCGUGGAGCUUUACUGUAGCCUGAUAUUGAAAUUCGGCACAGCUUGUACAGGAUAGGUAGGAGCCUUUGAAACGUGAGCGCUAGCUUACGUGGAGGCGCUGGUGGGAUACUACCCUAGCUGUGUUGGCUUUCUAACCCGCACCACUUAUC